Molecule: ribosomal RNA, 254 nt
Filed under: uncultured archaeon
Lineage: Archaea
Description: partial 16S ribosomal RNA
Rfam family: Archaeal small subunit ribosomal RNA
Source: RNAcentral
UACGGGGCGCAGCAGGCGCGAAAACUUUACAAUGCGGGCAACCGUGAUAAGGAAACCCCGAGUGCCAGCACAGGCUGGCUGUCCGCCAGUGUAAAAAACUGGUGAAGAAAGGGCCGGGCAAGACCGGUGCCAGCCGCCGCGGUAAUACCGGCGGCUCGAGUGGUGGCCGCUUUUACUGGGCUUAAAGGGUCCGUAGCUGGAUCCGCAAGUCCCUUGAGAAAUCCAUCGGCUUAACUGAUGGGCGUUCAGGGGAU